Molecule: ribosomal RNA, 892 nt
Filed under: Fusarium oxysporum f. sp. dianthi
Lineage: Eukaryota; Fungi; Ascomycota; Sordariomycetes; Hypocreales; Nectriaceae
Description: LSU rRNA
Rfam family: Eukaryotic large subunit ribosomal RNA
Source: RNAcentral
GCAUAUCAAUAAGCGGAGGAAAAGAAACCAACAGGGAUUGCCCUAGUAACGGCGAGUGAAGCGGCAACAGCUCAAAUUUGAAAUCUGGCUCUCGGGCCCGAGUUGUAAUUUGUAGAGGAUACUUUUGAUGCGGUGCCUUCCGAGUUCCCUGGAACGGGACGCCAUAGAGGGUGAGAGCCCCGUCUGGUUGGAUGCCAAAUCUCUGUAAAGUUCCUUCAACGAGUCGAGUAGUUUGGGAAUGCUGCUCUAAAUGGGAGGUAUAUGUCUUCUAAAGCUAAAUACCGGCCAGAGACCGAUAGCGCACAAGUAGAGUGAUCGAAAGAUGAAAAGCACUUUGAAAAGAGAGUUAAAAAGUACGUGAAAUUGUUGAAAGGGAAGCGUUUAUGACCAGACUUGGGCUUGGUUAAUCAUCUGGGGUUCUCCCCAGUGCACUUUUCCAGUCCAGGCCAGCAUCAGUUUUCCCCGGGGGAUAAAGGCGGCGGGAAUGUGGCUCUCUUCGGGGAGUGUUAUAGCCCACCGUGUAAUACCCUGGGGGGGACUGAGGUUCGCGCAUCUGCAAGGAUGCUGGCGUAAUGGUCAUCAACGACCCGUCUUGAAACACGGACCAAGGAGUCGUCUUCGUAUGCGAGUGUUCGGGUGUCAAACCCCUACGCGUAAUGAAAGUGAACGCAGGUGAGAGCUUCGGCGCAUCAUCGACCGAUCCUGAUGUUCUCGGAUGGAUUUGAGUAAGAGCAUACGGGGCCGGACCCGAAAGAAGGUGAACUAUGCCUGUAUAGGGUGAAGCCAGAGGAAACUCUGGUGGAGGCUCGCAGCGGUUCUGACGUGCAAAUCGAUCGUCAAAUAUGGGCAUGGGGGCGAAAGACUAAUCGAACCUUCUAGUAGCUGGUUCCGC